Empidonax traillii (willow flycatcher) is the source of this 411-nucleotide long non-coding RNA. RefSeq lists it as uncharacterized. The transcript is spliced from 4 exons. Lineage: Eukaryota; Metazoa; Chordata; Aves; Passeriformes; Tyrannidae. The record is from RefSeq and is a predicted model, not a curated record.
UCUCGCCGGAGCUUCGCUCCUGCGUUUGCGGCGUUCUCCUGCUCAAGGAGCCUGUGCCUGGCCGGGUGCUUCGGGGCUGCUCGGGCAAGAGGCCGAUUUGGGCAGGUAAGACAGUGAGGUCUUUAACUGCUCCAGAAGAGUGUCUGGGAAGAAAAUGUCUCUGGCAAAUAUGUACCAGGCACAUGACACUGCAGAGCUCCAAAAUCAGAAGUAAAUCAGCUGGACAGUUGCCUCCUGUCGUCCUAAAUAGGCAAACACAUUAGGAACAGAAAAGGGGGCCUACCUACCUCAUUCCUGGAGAAGGUGGGUUUACCAGUGGUGGAUGCCUGCCUCAUUUGCUUCACCAAAAUGAGUUAGGGCAUGCAGGAGAGAAGGGAGAUUUCUGCAAGUAGAACCUAUCAUGGUAAGUCA